This 653-nucleotide long non-coding RNA is filed under the name Homo sapiens (human). Its description in RNAcentral is "HSALNT0216882". The record is from RNAcentral. Lineage: Eukaryota; Metazoa; Chordata; Mammalia; Primates; Hominidae.
CAGGGAGAGACAAGAGACACAGAGACAUAGACAGAGACAAGGAUGGGGAGAGAUAAGAGACACAGAGACAUAGAGACAGGGAUGGGGAGAGAGAUAAGAGAUGAAGAGACAUAGAGAGAGACAGGGAUGGGGAGAGAUAAGAGACACAGAGACAUAGAGAGAGAGAGACAGGGAUGGGGAGAGACAAGAGACAUAGAGAGACAGGGAUGGGGAGAGAUAAGAGACACAGAGACAUAGAGAGAGACAGGGAUGGAGAGAGACACAGAGACGUAGACAGAGAAAGACAAGGACAAGGAGAGAUAAGAGACACAGAGACAUAGAGAGACAGGGAUGGGGAGAGAUAAGAGACACAGAGACAUAGAGAGAGACAGGGAUGGGGAGAGACAAGAGACAUAGAGACAGGGACAAAGACAGACACAGAGAGAGAGAUGGGGAUGGAGAGAGAUAAGAGACAGGGACGGGGAGGGACAGAGACACAAGAGACAGAAAGAGAGAGAUGAGAUGAGAUAGAUAAGAAACAGAGACAGAGAUGGGAGAAAAAGGGAGGAGAUGGGAACAGGGAAAAAGAGACAUGGAGACAGACAUGCAGAGAGAACACAACAGAGGCAGAGAACACACAGGGAGAGAAAGAGGCAGCAAGAUGGGCCCAGGAA